Molecule: ribosomal RNA, 729 nt
Filed under: Bacillus sp. ML-04
Lineage: Bacteria; Bacillati; Bacillota; Bacilli; Caryophanales; Bacillaceae
Description: bacterial SSU rRNA
Rfam family: Bacterial small subunit ribosomal RNA
Source: RNAcentral
GNUCAUUGGAAACUGGGGAACUUGAGUGCAGAAGAGGAGAGUGGAAUUCCACGUGUAGCGGUGAAAUGCGUAGAGAUGUGGAGGAACACCAGUGGCGAAGGCGACUCUCUGGUCUGUAACUGACGCUGAGGCGCGAAAGCGUGGGGAGCGAACAGGAUUAGAUACCCUGGUAGUCCACGCCGUAAACGAUGAGUGCUAAGUGUUAGAGGGUUUCCGCCCUUUAGUGCUGCAGCAAACGCAUUAAGCACUCCGCCUGGGGAGUACGGUCGCAAGACUGAAACUCAAAGGAAUUGACGGGGGCCCGCACAAGCGGUGGAGCAUGUGGUUUAAUUCGAAGCAACGCGAAGAACCUUACCAGGUCUUGACAUCCUCUGACAACCCUAGAGAUAGGGCUUCCCCUUCGGGGGCAGAGUGACAGGUGGUGCAUGGUUGUCGUCAGCUCGUGUCGUGAGAUGUUGGGUUAAGUCCCGCAACGAGCGCAACCCUUGAUCUUAGUUGCCAGCAUUCAGUUGGGCACUCUAAGGUGACUGCCGGUGACAAACCGGAGGAAGGUGGGGAUGACGUCAAAUCAUCAUGCCCCUUAUGACCUGGGCUACACACGUGCUACAAUGGGCAGAACAAAGGGCAGCGAAGCCGCGAGGCUAAGCCAAUCCCACAAAUCUGUUCUCAGUUCGGAUCGCAGUCUGCAACUCGACUGCGUGAAGCUGGAAUCGCUAGUAAUCGCGGAUC